GCGACCCCAGGUCAGGCGGGACUACCCGCUGAAUUUAAGCAUAUAAAUAAGCGGAGGAGAAGAAACUUACAAGGAUUCCCCUAGUAACG
This 89-nucleotide ribosomal RNA is filed under the name Poa multinodis. RNAcentral's name for it is "partial 26S ribosomal RNA". It matches the Rfam family "Eukaryotic large subunit ribosomal RNA", at positions 1 to 88 of the family's 3401-position model. Lineage: Eukaryota; Viridiplantae; Streptophyta; Magnoliopsida; Poales; Poaceae. The record is from RNAcentral.